Molecule: long non-coding RNA, 201 nt
Organism: Mustela lutreola (European mink)
Lineage: Eukaryota; Metazoa; Chordata; Mammalia; Carnivora; Mustelidae
Exons: 2
Source: RefSeq, a predicted model, not a curated record
UUCUUUUUUUUUUUUUUUUUUUUUUUUUUUUUUUUUUUUUUUUUUUUCUCUUUUUUUUUUUUUUUUUUUUUUUUUUUUUUUUUUUUUUUUUUUUUUUUUUUUUUUUUUUUUUUUUUUUUUUUUUUUUUUUUGUUAGUUGGAAGGUUUUUUUUUUUUUUUUUUUUUUUUUUUUAUUUUUUUUUUUUUAAUUUUUUAUAAACA